Lemur catta (Ring-tailed lemur) is the source of this 2681-nucleotide long non-coding RNA. RefSeq lists it as uncharacterized. The record is from RefSeq and is a predicted model, not a curated record. Lineage: Eukaryota; Metazoa; Chordata; Mammalia; Primates; Lemuridae. The transcript has 2 exons.
CCGAGGCGCUGUGUAUAACGUCAGGCUUAUCAAGCCGUCGGGAACAGAAGCCCCUUCUCUGUUUGUGACAGCAGAGGAAGGACUCCCGGGAAUACUCACCCUGGAAGGGCACAGAAGCCAGAGGGGUUUCUUCAGGAAAGAUGUCAACCCAGGGGCCUUGAGCAGAGACAAGCCAACUUCUGAACUUGCCUUGGACCUGGGAUGAGGACGAGGCCCCAGAAGAGAGGGAGAAGCCUUCUUCAAAGCCAGCGUGCUGAUGAGCCCUCAAGAAUGGGGUGCUUUCUCUCUGGGGGCUUGUUAGUGGGGCCAUUGGGACUGUGUCUUCGGGAUCUUGUAAUGAUUCUGGAAGUGGUGGUAGAAGAGCUAUGUCACCCUGGAAGGACUCCUGGGAAGCCGCCUACCAACACGAUUUCCUAAGUCAGGGCCUUAGAAAGUGAGAGCCCCGGUGGAGGCCACAGAUUAAUGAGCAGAGGGUGUGGGAAGGUCGAGGACUGUGUUCCUCCAACUCCUAUUCCCACUAAUAAUUGCUCCCCCAAGGCAGGGUGGGUCACCCGCUCUCCCAAGGCAGGGGGGGUCACCCCCUCCCCCAAGGCAGAGUACUCUCUCUCCUCCCACCACGGAAGUCAGUGCAGGAAAGUCAUCAUAGACAGACCUGCUCUUCUGGUCAUUAGUGGUUUGACUUUGUAAAGCUGCUGAACACUUUUGGGCCUCGGUUUCCUCAUCUAAGAGAUGAGCAUAUCCUCCACCACAGAGCAUGGGUGUGAACAUUAAAUGAAGUAAGAUUCAUUAAGCUGCUAGCAGAGGUGCAACAGUCCAUCUACAUAUGAACUGCUAACACGUAUGAGUGUGUGGUAUGUACACGGUGAUGCACUAAGAACUUUACAAGCCUGAAGGCCCUAUAGUUCCUCACAACAAUUCUAGGAAGUAAAUUGUAGCAGACUUGUCAGACGUUCGGACUCACAUCUGCUUAGCCUGUCUUUGGAUUUCAGCCAUGGCUCCGUGGACAGUGAGUUCCCUGCAGGCUUCUGCUCACUGCAAGCUGACAGUGUAGCCCCUUCCCUGGGAUCCCUGAUGGCGUGAACGCUGAGGAAGCUCACUCUGUCUGAGCACGUGUGGAGCUCAGAAGUGCAGAGGGCAGCUUGACAAUGGGGAAUGGAGACGGUGGAUAGAGGCCCUACCGCAUCUCCACACAAUUCUGGGGGCAUUCUAUAUGCUCCUGCACAGUCUAGUCUCUGCUGUCCAUAGCAGGGACUUUGGUAAUGCACCCCUCAAUUGGGGACAAUUCUUCCUUCUCUGUCUCACUCUCUUCUUAAAUCAGUCCUGCUCCCUGGGAUCACCUCCCAAAUAAAUAACCUCACUGUUGCUCCAUGAGAUUUCCCAGUGAAACCACACUCACUUCUUGUCUUAGACUCUGCUUUCAUGGGAACCCAGCUAAGACAGUGGAUUCUGGGGGUGGCUCCAGGAAGUAUAUCCUCCAGAAAGAAUACUGGGACUGGACCAUUCACCCUCUUGGGGUAAACGGGGUUGGUGAUAACCCCUAGCAUGUGAUGGCAUCAUCAUUGCUCAGACUUGCUUGUGAUAGAUUGGGAUGAGGUACAGGUGGAAAGCGAAACACUGGGUUAUGUGGUAGCUCUAGAACUAUAGUAAUUAUAAGUAUUGUGGAGUUGUAAGAAUAGGGAUGGCUUUUGUCAAGUUCCUUGAAAGCCUGGAAGAAACUGGAUAAUAGCUCCAUGUUAUCCAAGAGCCAUCAGCUCAGGGUGUGUUGUGAAAUCUGGAAAUCUUCCACAGUGACAUUUAAUGAGAUAUUAACCUUCUGUAGCCUUAGAUGCACAGUGUUAAAAAUUAGGCCUUGGGCUUAAUUGUAAGGGUGGAGAAACUACCAUGAGGGCUGGACGUGUACUUUGGGCAGCUCUCCUCUGUUAAACUCUGAGUCUUGGUAGGAAAGGAGUGAGACCUGGAAUGGGGAUGUCUGAGUGGAUGAGCAUGGAACUUUGAAUCCUCAGACUGCCCUGACUCCACUUGCCAGGGCAGAAGCAUCCCUGCCCCUUGCUAGAGGAGAGAAACCUCCUUUUGCCCGUAGGCCACAAGAACAUCUCAUAUAAAGCAGAAGUCUAACAAGGUGAUUCUUGUCCUUCUUGAGAACAUCUUCCACGUCCUUCAGAACCUCCAAAAUAAUUGAGAUCAGGCCUCAGCAUCGUCUGAGAGAGGAAAUCCAUCUAUCAGUCAAGAGAAAAUAAUUUACUCACUGCAAGGAAUUCCUCUACCUGGGGGUGGGAGGUGGAGUAAUGGCCCCCAAGGACAUCCAACCUAACUCCUGGAAUCCACUUCCUAUGGUCAAGGGGACUUUACAGUUAGAGAUGUUAAGCUGGGAAUAUUAUCCUGGGUCAGCUGGGAGGGCCUAUGUGUAGUCAUAAAUGUCUUUAUAAGAGAGCAGCCAAGGAAUAUUGGACAACAGAAGAGAGGGCAAUGUGAUGACGCAAGUGGAGAGUGGAGUGUGGUAGGCACAGCCACAGAAUGCCAACAGCUACUAGAAGCUGGAGGAGACAAGGAAUGCAUUCUCCUUUGGAGCUUCCAGAAAGAACCAGCCCUACUGACACUCUGAAGUUAGCUCCAUAGGACUCAUUGCAGACUUCUGCACCCCUGCCAAGCCAUGAUAGAAUAAAUUUCUGUCGUUUUAAGCC